RNAcentral lists this ribosomal RNA (255 nucleotides) under uncultured bacterium. RNAcentral's name for it is "partial 16S ribosomal RNA". It matches the Rfam family "Bacterial small subunit ribosomal RNA", at positions 524 to 776 of the family's 1533-position model. The record is from RNAcentral.
UACGGGGGGGAGCAAGCGUUGUUCGGAUUUACUGGGCGUAAAGGGCGCGUAGGCGGUCAGCACAAGUCAGUUGUGAAAUCUCCGGGCUUAACUCGGAAAGGUCAACUGAUACUGUGCGACUAGAGUGCGGAAGGGGCAACUGGAAUUCUUGGUGUAGCGGUGAAAUGCGUAGAUAUCAAGAGGAACACCUGCGGCGAAGGCGGGUUGCUGGGCCGACACUGACGCUGAGGCGCGAAAGCCAGGGGAGCGAACGGG